RNAcentral lists this transfer RNA (89 nucleotides) under Marinilactibacillus piezotolerans. Its description in RNAcentral is "tRNA_Leu_TAA". It matches the Rfam family "tRNA". Rfam says of the family: Transfer RNA (tRNA) molecules are approximately 80 nucleotides in length. Their secondary structure includes four short double-helical elements and three loops (D, anti-codon, and T loops). Further hydrogen bonds mediate the characteristic L-shaped molecular structure. tRNAs have two regions of fundamental functional importance: the anti-codon, which is responsible for specific mRNA codon recognition, and the 3' end, to which the tRNAs corresponding amino acid is attached (by aminoacyl-tRNA synthetases). tRNAs cope with the degeneracy of the genetic code in two manners: having more than one tRNA (with a specific anti-codon) for a particular amino acid; and 'wobble' base-pairing, i.e. permitting non-standard base-pairing at the 3rd anti-codon position. The record is from RNAcentral. Lineage: Bacteria; Bacillati; Bacillota; Bacilli; Lactobacillales; Carnobacteriaceae. RNAcentral also lists the same sequence under 1 other name.
GCCGGGGUGGCGGAAUUGGUAGACGCACAGGACUUAAAAUCCUGCGGUGAGUUUUCACCGUGCCGGUUCGACUCCGGCCCUCGGCACUA